RNAcentral lists this ribosomal RNA (669 nucleotides) under uncultured fungus. RNAcentral's name for it is "eukaryotic LSU rRNA". It matches the Rfam family "Eukaryotic large subunit ribosomal RNA", at positions 24 to 664 of the family's 3401-position model. The record is from RNAcentral. Lineage: Eukaryota; Fungi.
CCCGCUGAACUUAAGCAUAUCAAUAAGCGGAGGAAAAGAAACUAACAAGGAUUCCCCUAGUAACUGCGAGUGAAGCGGGAAAAGCUCAAAUUUAAAAUCUGGGGGUCCCUGUGGCCCUCCGAGUUGUAAUCUAGAGAAGUGCUAUCCGCGCUGGACCGUGUACAAGUCUCCUGGAACGGAGCGUCAUAGAGGGUGAGAAUCCCGUCUUUGACACGGACUACCAGGGCUUAUGUGAUGUGCUCUCAAAGAGUCGAGUUGUUUGGGAAUGCAGCUCUAAAUGGGUGGUAAAUUCCAUCUAAAGCUAAAUAUUGGCGAGAGACCGAUAGCGAACAAGUACCGUGAGGGAAAGAUGAAAAGAACUUUGGAAAGAGAGUUAAACAGUACGUGAAAUUGCUGAAAGGGAAACGCUUGAUGUCAGUCGCGUCGUCCGGGGAUCAGCCUUGCUCUUUUGCUCGGUGUAUUUCCUGGUCGACGGGUCAGCAUCGGUUUCGACCGUCGGAAAAUGGCUCGAGGAAUGUGGCACCCUUCGGGGUGUGUUAUAGACUCGGGUCGAAUACGGCGAUUGGGACCGAGGAACUCAGCACGACCUUAGGGUUCGGGGCUUCGGCCCACGUCAACGUGCUUAGGAUGCUGGCAUAAUGGCCUUAAGCGACCCGUCUUGAAACACGG